Cygnus atratus (black swan) is the source of this 691-nucleotide long non-coding RNA. RefSeq lists it as uncharacterized. Lineage: Eukaryota; Metazoa; Chordata; Aves; Anseriformes; Anatidae. The transcript has 6 exons. The record is from RefSeq and is a predicted model, not a curated record.
AGAGGUCUUAAAUUGAGGAAAAAAAAAUGCUAAAAAUUCAUAGACAUCAUUCAAACAUCAUGCUUCAAAUAAAAUUGGCACAUUAACUUGGAAGAGGAGAGAAAAGGACAGUGGAGGAAGGAAGCUGAGCAGAGAGAUGAAGCUAAGCAACAUCUGAAAGAUUCAUGAAGAAUAUAUGCAUAAAAGUAUUAGUCCUGCCAGAAAUAUUCCAGCCCAUCAAAAGAGAAUAGAGAAACUUGCUGAACUCUGGAAGGCAGUGGUUAUAUGGAGAAGAAAAGGCUGCAUUUCAGUACAUCAGAGUUCAGAUGUUGUAUCUGAUGAUGCAAGCAGGAAUUUCAUGUGCUUUCCAUGCAACAGAAAUAAUAGAUGAAUGAAAAUGUCUGCCAUGCAAAUUCUUUACUGGAAUGGUAAAUGAGUUUGUGACCUAGUUACUGAUUAGAGGUGAUCACUACAGUAUUGAUUCAUACUGUUCUGAAGCCAUGGUAACUAAGGAGAAUAAUGCUUUGGGCAUACAGUUUACAGCACUGAAAUGGGCUAUCUGCACAAGUACCAGGAAAGGGCAUCAGCCAACUGUCAGUUAGAAACAAGGACAGAAUGACUGCAAACUUAAGUGAUCUGUACUUUGGCCUUUGAAACAGGAGUAUACUACAGAAGAACCUAGAAGAAGCAGGUAUUAAUAAUGGAUGUUUUU